Molecule: ribosomal RNA, 171 nt
Filed under: Radulomyces sp.
Lineage: Eukaryota; Fungi; Basidiomycota; Agaricomycetes; Agaricales; Radulomycetaceae
Description: partial large subunit ribosomal RNA
Source: RNAcentral
AAACGCUUGAAGUCAGUCGCGUCUGCUGGGAUUCAGCCUUGCUUCUGCUUGGUGCACUUCCUAGUUGGACGGGUCAACAUCGAUUUCGACCGUCGGAUAAAGGUUUGAGGAAUGUGGCAUCUCCGGGUGUGUUAUAGCCUCUUAUCACAUACGUCGGUUGGGACCGAGGAA